UACGGAGGGGGCUAGCGUUGCUCGGAAUUACUGGGCGUAAAGGGCGUGUAGGCGGCCUGCCAAGUCAGAUGUGAAAGCCACGGGCUUAACCUGGGUACUGCAUUUGAGACUGGCCGGCUCGAGGUUGGAAGAGGGGAGUGGAAUUCCCAGUGUAGAGGUGAAAUUCGUAGAUAUUGGGAAGAACACCGGUGGCGAAGGCGGCUCUCUGGUCCACACCUGACGCUGAGGCGCGAAAGCGUGGGGAGCAAACAGG
This 253-nucleotide ribosomal RNA is filed under the name uncultured bacterium. Its description in RNAcentral is "partial 16S ribosomal RNA". It matches the Rfam family "Bacterial small subunit ribosomal RNA", at positions 524 to 776 of the family's 1533-position model. The record is from RNAcentral.